Molecule: small nucleolar RNA, 104 nt
Organism: Panicum virgatum (switchgrass)
Lineage: Eukaryota; Viridiplantae; Streptophyta; Magnoliopsida; Poales; Poaceae
Source: RefSeq, a predicted model, not a curated record
AUUCCAUAAUGGGGACAUGCUAUGAUGUACUCCUGCAGUCUUUCCCAAGCUUCCAGGAUAGAUUCCGUCCCUGUCUGCUGGAAACUUGAAAUCUUCCCGCGUAU